UGGCUUUAUAUUCAAGUAUGAUUCUAGACUGCAAUUCUAGGGGUGUAAAAUUUUACUAAGGCC
This 63-nucleotide transfer RNA is filed under the name Chorthippus parallelus. RNAcentral's name for it is "transfer RNA-Cys". The record is from RNAcentral. Lineage: Eukaryota; Metazoa; Arthropoda; Insecta; Orthoptera; Acrididae.